GAUGAAGAACGUAGUGAAAUGCGAUAAGUAAUGUGAAUUGCAGAAUUCAGUGAAUCAUCGAAUCUUUGAACGCACAUUGCGCCCGCCAGUAUUCUGGCGGGCAUGCUUGUUCGAGCGUCAUUACAACCCUCAGGCCCCCGGGCCUGGCGUUGGGGAUCGGCGGAGCCCCCCGUGGGCACACGCCGUCCCCCAAAUGCAGUGGCGGUCCCGCCGCAGCUUCCAUCGCGUAGUAGCUAACACCUCGCGACUGGAGAGCGGCGCGGCCACGCCGUAAAACACCCAACUCUUCUGAAGUUGACCUCGAAUCAGGUAGGAAUACCCGCUGAACUUAAGCAUAUCAAUAAGCGGAGGA
Molecule: unclassified non-coding RNA, 352 nt
Filed under: soil metagenome
Description: partial contains 5.8S ribosomal RNA, internal transcribed spacer 2, and large subunit ribosomal RNA
Rfam family: 5.8S ribosomal RNA (bases 1-120)
Source: RNAcentral